This 446-nucleotide ribosomal RNA is filed under the name uncultured bacterium. RNAcentral's name for it is "bacterial SSU rRNA". It matches the Rfam family "Bacterial small subunit ribosomal RNA", at positions 329 to 792 of the family's 1533-position model. The record is from RNAcentral.
CUCCAGACUCCUACGGGAGGCAGCAGUGGGGAAUAUUGCACAAUGGGGGAAACCCUGAUGCAGCAACGCCGCGUGAGUGAAGAAGUAUUUCGGUAUGUAAAGCUCUAUCAGCAGGGAAGAAAAUGACGGUACCUGAGUAAGAAGCCCCGGCUAACUACGUGCCAGCAGCCGCGGUAAUACGUAGGGGGCAAGCGUUAUCCGGAUUUACUGGGUGUAAAGGGAGCGUAGACGGCGAUACAAGUCUGAAGUGAAAGCCCGGGGCUCAACCCCGGGACUGCUUUGGAAACUGUGUUGCUGGAGUGCUGGAGAGGCAAGCGGAAUUCCUAGUGUAGCGGUGAAAUGCGUAGAUAUUAGGAAGAACACCAGUGACGAAGGCGGAUUACUGGACGACAACUGACGGUGAGGCGCGAAAGCGUGGGGAGCAAACAGGAUUAGAUACCCCUGUA